UGACCAGACUCCUACGGGAGGCAGCAGUGGGGGGUAUUGCACAAUGGGGGAAACCCUGAUGCAGCGACGCCGCGUGGGCGAAGAAGUAUUUCGGUAUGUAAAGCUCUAUCAGCAGGGAAGAAAAUGACGGUACCUGAGUAAGAAGCUCCGGCUAAAUACGUGCCAGCAGCCGCGGUAAUACGUAUGGAGCAAGCGUUAUCCGGAUUUACUGGGUGUAAAGGGAGCGCAGGCGGUCUGGCAAGUCUGAUGUGAAAUACCGGGGCUCAACUCCGGGACUGCAUUGGGAACUACCGGGCUGGAGUGCCGGAGAGGUAGGCGGAAUUCCUAGUGUAGCGGUGAAAUGCGUAGAUAUUAGGAGGAACACCAGUGGCGAAGGCGGCCUACUGGACGGUGACUGACGCUGAGGCUCGAAAGCGUGGGGAGCAAACAGGAUUAGAUGCCCCUGUAAG
Molecule: ribosomal RNA, 449 nt
Filed under: uncultured bacterium
Lineage: Bacteria
Description: bacterial SSU rRNA
Rfam family: Bacterial small subunit ribosomal RNA
Source: RNAcentral